CUGAUGCCAUGCUCGCCGUGCUUGUGUUCUGUACUCCCACGGUUUCUCAAGUGGCUCUCAUCAAAUAAUUUGCAUUUUUCGAUCUGUUUUGAUUUGCUUAAAGUGAAAGUUCGCACCCAGCUGAUUAGAUGGCAGAAAUGAAAAGAGAGCCUGUCCUGGGUGAUGGGGGUCCUCGUUGAUGGAGGCCACCAUUUUGAGGCAUCACCUUUUGAAGAUGUUCACGACUCCGGGGAGGCCAUGAUGGAGCUGGGUGCCUUUCUCAUUGGCACAGAUACCUUUUGACAACAGGUCAACAGCAGAUGCCUUUUCAUUGGCUCUUCACUCAGCUCUGGAACAUCCAUUCAUUGAAGAUUCAUACACGGGAAUGCUCUUCAUUGACUACAGCUCAGCAUUGAACAUUAUCAACUCCUCGAAACUCAUCACUCUUCUCUUGUUUCAUCACUGAAACAUCCCCAUAACCUAUGGACUCACUUUCAAGGACUCUUCAUCUCAUGUUCUCAACAUUUAUUGAUUGCUUGAUUAUUUAUUUGUUGUUAAUAUAAUUAUUUAUUUUUGUACUUGCAGUGUUUGUUAACCCAGUUGGUGACGUCUUUCCUUGAUUCUAUUAUGGUUAUUGGAUUUAUUGAGUAUGCCUGUGUAUCUCAGUGUUGUGUAUGGUGACAUACAUAUACGUAGUUUGACUAGCCAGCCGGUAGUGUGGUGGCAUCAGCACUGGAUCUCAAGACAAUUGUUCCCAUGUUUGAAUCCGGCCAGCCUCUUGCACACUUUCCAUCCAUGCUGGGUUGAGCAUCGAGCUAGCAAUUUGGCCUCAUAACAAAAGAGAUAAUUGCUAAGGGAAUGGCAAAAAAUGCCACCCAAUGA
This is a long non-coding RNA of Hypanus sabinus (Atlantic stingray), 861 nucleotides long. RefSeq lists it as uncharacterized. The record is from RefSeq and is a predicted model, not a curated record. The transcript is spliced from 3 exons. Lineage: Eukaryota; Metazoa; Chordata; Chondrichthyes; Myliobatiformes; Dasyatidae.